RNAcentral lists this ribosomal RNA (1408 nucleotides) under uncultured beta proteobacterium. Its description in RNAcentral is "16S ribosomal RNA". It matches the Rfam family "Bacterial small subunit ribosomal RNA". Lineage: Bacteria; Pseudomonadati; Pseudomonadota; Betaproteobacteria. The record is from RNAcentral.
GGCGGCAUGCUUAACAUGCAAGUCGAACGGCAGCACGGGUGCUUGCACCUGGUGGCGAGUGGCGAACGGGUGAGUCAUCCAUCGGAAUGUACCUUGUAGUGGGGGAUCGCUCGGCGAAAGCCGGAUUAAUACCGCAUACGCUCUGAGGAGGAAAGCGGGGACCUUCGGGCCUCGUGCUACAAGAGCAGCCGAUGUCAGAUUAGCUAGUUGGUGGGGUAAAAGCUCACCAAGGCGACGAUCUGUAGCUGGUCUGAGAGGACGACCAGCCACACUGGGACUGAGACACGGCCCAGACUCCUACGGGAGGCAGCAGUGGGGAAUUUUGGACAAUGGGCGAAAGCCUGAUCCAGCAAUGCCGCGUGUGUGAAGAAGGCCUUCGGGUUGUAAAGCACUUUUGUCCGGAAAGAAAUCCUCUGGGUUAAUACCUCGGGGGGAUGACGGUACCGGAAGAAUAAGCACCGGCUAACUACGUGCCAGCAGCCGCGGUAAUACGUAGGGUGCAAGCGUUAAUCGGAAUUACUGGGCGUAAAGCGUGCGCAGGCGGUUUUGUAAGACGGAUGUGAAAUCCCCGGGCUUAACCUGGGAACUGCAUUCGUGACUGCAAGGCUAGAGUAUGGCAGAGGGGGGUAGAAUUCCACGUGUAGCAGUGAAAUGCGUAGAGAUGUGGAGGAAUACCGAUGGCGAAGGCAGCCCCCUGGGCCAAUACUGACGCUCAUGCACGAAAGCGUGGGGAGCAAACAGGAUUAGAUACCCUGGUAGUCCACGCCCUAAACGAUGUCAACUAGUUGUUGGGGAUUCACUUCCUUAGUAACGAAGCUAACGCGUGAAGUUGACCGCCUGGGGAGUACGGUCGCAAGAUUAAAACUCAAAGGAAUUGACGGGGACCCGCACAAGCGGUGGAUGAUGUGGAUUAAUUCGAUGCAACGCGAAAAACCUUACCUACCCUUGACAUGUACGGAAUCCUGCUGAGAGGCGGGAGUGCUCGAAAGAGAACCGUAACACAGGUGCUGCAUGGCUGUCGUCAGCUCGUGUCGUGAGAUGUUGGGUUAAGUCCCGCAACGAGCGCAACCCUUGUCCUUAGUUGCUACGCAAGAGCACUCUAGGGAGACUGCCGGUGACAAACCGGAGGAAGGUGGGGAUGACGUCAAGUCCUCAUGGCCCUUAUGGGUAGGGCUUCACACGUCAUACAAUGGUCGGUACAGAGGGCUGCCAAACCGCGAGGUGGAGCUAACCCCAGAAAACCGAUCGUAGUCCGGAUCGCAGUCUGCAACUCGACUGCGUGAAGCUGGAAUCGCUAGUAAUCGCGGAUCAGCAUGUCGCGGUGAAUACGUUCCCGGGUCUUGUACACACCGCCCGUCACACCAUGGGAGUGGGUUUGCCAGAAGUAAGUAGCCUAACCGUAAGGAGG